UACGGGGGGUGCAAGCGUUGUUCGGAAUUACUGGGCGUAAAGGGCUCGUAGGCGGCCAACUAAGUCAGACGUGAAAUCCCUCGGCUUAACCGGGGAACUGCGUCUGAUACUGGAUGGCUUGAAUCCGGGAGAGGGAUGCGGAAUUCCAGGUGUAGCGGUGAAAUGCGUAGAUAUCUGGAGGAACACCGGUGGCGAAGGCGGCAUCCUGGACCGGCAUUGACGCUGAGGAGCGAAAGCCAGGGGAGCAAACGGG
RNAcentral lists this ribosomal RNA (253 nucleotides) under uncultured bacterium. RNAcentral's name for it is "partial 16S ribosomal RNA". It matches the Rfam family "Bacterial small subunit ribosomal RNA", at positions 524 to 776 of the family's 1533-position model. The record is from RNAcentral.